Canis lupus familiaris (dog) is the source of this 1820-nucleotide long non-coding RNA. RefSeq lists it as uncharacterized. Lineage: Eukaryota; Metazoa; Chordata; Mammalia; Carnivora; Canidae. The transcript has 2 exons. The record is from RefSeq and is a predicted model, not a curated record.
GUUUCUGGCAACUUUUACUUUGCAUAAAUUUGACUAUUAUCCCGAAAUUCCUAGUUUUGGCAUUUUACACAUAGAACAUGAGCGUGUAAUCAAUUUAGCCCUUGCAUGAGGUGGCAGGUGAUUUUUAUUUUCAAAACAAGUGAUUUAUGGGAUGGUUUUUGAUAUGUAAGCGUGGGGACAAAGUGCGAUUAAUGAUAUUUGUGGGGAGCAUCUAACGAAUUUAACAGUUCUUGGGAUUAAAUAUAGAGCAGCAUUUUGGGGACCCAGACUAAUGGAUUUCUUUAAAACUUUAUUGAAAAAGAGCACACGUACAGAAAAAUGCACAAAUCAUAAGCAUAUGGCUGGAUGGAUUUUUACGAAGGGAGCACAUCCAUGUAACCAGCCACCACUAUAUGAAUAGGUUUUAAUUGACAAAGGGAAAAAAGAAUUUAGCAGUAGUUCACUGAAGAAAAGACGUUACUAGCUGAUAGUGUGGAAUACACUUGGAGGUUGCUGUUGGUUCUUUUCAGCCGUUUCUAAAAUUUCUCUGGUAAUAAUUGCUGGUAUUAUUGAACACUUAAAAUAGGGCCUGGCACAUCUCAACAGUUUUGUGUCCAGUUGUUUAAUAUUCAGAAUUAUACUAUGAAAAAGUAUACUAUGAUUAUUCUUUAUCAUCUUUGUCUUACUGUUGUGGAAACUGGGGUGGGGGUGUUAAAAUACCCAGGAUCAUCCAGCAAGUGGUGGAGUGGGAUUUUGAACCCAAACCGGGUACCCCAGAGUUGAGGCAACUCCUGUAUUAUUAGACUUUCUUAAGCGCUUGCACUUUUUCUAGUAGGAACUUGGCUGUGUACUUUAAAAGUAUUUAAUUUGGGUAUUGUGAACAUAUAUUUUUAAUGAGGAUUAACAAAACUAACGUAGGAAGGGGAUUUUGAGACAAUUUCUGAAAAUAAGAGCAAGUUAAUUUUCUAUGAGGUUACUCCUUUAAUGGCCGAAUUCUCCAUAUGCAGACAUUGUCUUCCAUAUAGGUAGAGGCUUUUAUUAGGAUUCCCCAAAAUCAGUGUAAAUACACAGAUGUGAUAAGAAUAGCCAAGAAAUAAAAAACAGACUUCAAAACACUGACAUAACAAUUUUGAACAUCAAAUACUUAAGGGUAUUCAGGUUCUCCUUUGAGCACCAUGUACUUUUGAUUCUUUGUGCACUCCUGUUAAGUAAAUUAAAACCUUUAACAGCUUAAUUUACAUUAUUUUGGAUCUUUUUGAUCUACCUUACCAGCAGAACACAGCGGAGGUGUUUAGGACUCUAAGGUUAGAAACCUGAGUUUGAAUCCUGCCGCCUGCUUCUUAAUAGCUAAAUUAGGGCACAUUGGUCAGUCUCUAUUCCCAAGCUGUCUGAUCUGUAAGUGGAGGUGCUGGUGCUUCUGACUGCCUACUUUUGAGGAAAUGAAAUAAGAUCAUGCACUUUUAAAGUGCUGGCACAGAAGAAGUCCGCAAUAAGUGGUGACUGAUGCUGAUUUUCUCCCCCUUUGUAUUCAGAAAUAAUUAGACUGUAGUAACUGUGUUUCUCCAUUUGGAUUCCAGUGAAAACUGCUUAUUCAAGUCUUCUGAAAAUGUUAUCUGUGUUUUGUGUAACAAUUUUAAGGAUGUUAAAUGUGUAUGUUCUUAGCCCGGAUACUGCUUUUGAAAAGAUUUUUAUUUUUAAGUAAUCUCUACACCCAACGUGGAGCUCAGAUUUACAGCCCUGAGAUCAAGAGUCACAUGUUCCACCUACUGAGCCCGCCAGCCCCCCGCCAAUACUGCUUUUAUGUUAACACUUAAGAACUUAACAAAAAAUACUUUAAAUGA